Molecule: long non-coding RNA, 660 nt
Filed under: Daphnia pulex (common water flea)
Lineage: Eukaryota; Metazoa; Arthropoda; Branchiopoda; Diplostraca; Daphniidae
Description: uncharacterized LOC124201902, transcript variant X5
Source: RNAcentral
CUACUCAUUUCAAAAUCAAAACAAACCUUAUGUCAUGUUGGCUGUCGUGAUUCUGGUUAAUUUCUUCGCAAAAUGAAUGGUCUGUUUAGAAAAUUUGUUUCUGGCAAUUUGCAAGCUACUUAAUAUUUAUCUUUUUCAUCAAAUUGGAAACCCCACUAGAAAUGAAAACCACAUUUUCUUUUGACAUCUGAUUAACCAGCCAAAUAGAGGCCAUUGUCAGCAGUUUUAAUUUAGGUUGUUUUAUUGAGCGUCAUCCCUCAGCCAAAUAUUAAUAUAUAUUGUCUCGACAUUGACGCCCAUUUCUGGAAACAAAGGCUGAUAAACAAAGUUGGAAUCAACAGUUGGAACAGAAAUGGCGCAAUAAAAACCCGACAUGAUACGUUUAGUACGCCUUGGAAGUUGUUGCACUGAUUUUAGUCAACAUUGAUGAUGUAUUGUGCCGGGGUGUGUUACCUGAAAAAUCACAAACUAUCCACUCGUCGAUCCGAGUGUAGCGCGUGCGAUGUUUGCGGUUUCCUUCCAUUCCGAUUCAACAAAUAAGUUUCCUGGUUUGCCAUUUUGUUGUUUCUCAUCUUUCGUUUCGUAUAAUUUGUAUUCUUUUGCGCUUUAGCACGUGCAGAUGUAGACGAAAUGAUUUGGUGAAUAUAAGAAAUGAAGAAA